Molecule: ribosomal RNA, 486 nt
Filed under: uncultured bacterium
Lineage: Bacteria
Description: partial 16S ribosomal RNA
Rfam family: Bacterial small subunit ribosomal RNA
Source: RNAcentral
AUUGAACGCUGGCGGCAUGCCUUACACAUACAAGUCGAACGGCAGCACGGGUGCUUGCACCUGGUGGCGAGUGGCGAACGGGUGAGUAAUACAUCGGAACAUGUCCUGUAGUGGGGGAUAGCCCGGCGAAAGCCGGAUUAAUACCGCAUACGAUCUACGGAUGAAAGCGGGGGACCUUCGGGCCUCGCGCUAUAGGGUUGGCCGAUGGCUGAUUAGCUAGUUGGUGGGGUAAAGGCCUACCAAGGCGACGAUCAGUAGCUGGUCUGAGAGGACGACCAGCCACACUGGGACUGAGACACGGCCCAGACUCCUACGGGAGGCAGCAGUGGGGAAUUUUGGACAAAGGGCGAAAGCCUGAUCCAGCAAUGCCGCGUGUGUGAAGAAGGCCUUCGGGUUGUAAAGCACUUUUGUCCGGAAAGAAAUCCUUGGCUCUAAUACAGUCGGGGGAUGACGGUACCGGAAGAAUAAGCACCGGCUAACUACGUG